RNAcentral lists this long non-coding RNA (654 nucleotides) under Phoenix dactylifera (date palm). RNAcentral describes it as "long non-coding RNA (PDAC_LNC004115)". The record is from RNAcentral. Lineage: Eukaryota; Viridiplantae; Streptophyta; Magnoliopsida; Arecales; Arecaceae.
UUUUUUAUCUAAAAGUACUUUUAGAGGGCCAGAAAGUGCUUUUUGGCCCUCCAAAAACUCCCACAAACAGGACCUUAGUGUGCAUGUGCCAAAAAUAAACAUAAGCACUUCUACCUAGAGAAGAAAAAUCAAAAUAAACAUCAAAACUAUGAAUGGUUAGUCUAUCCGUAGUUCCUCCUUCCACCUUUGGAUGAAGAAUAGGUGUUCCUUUGGUUUGAUAAUGCGAGGUGAAGAUUUUUCAACAAACAUAGCAUUUUGGUUCUAACCCCGCUCACAUAUUCGAGCAAACGAAAUUAAGGAUCCUUCUUACCUUUGCUGUGAGGUCCAUGAAUGUUUUGAUGCAGGUUAAAAGAUGGCACCUACAAAGACUUUGGUCGCUAAUAAAAGCUUCUUUGCUGCUGUUAUUUUUAAGUUUUAAAUGUUGGUAUGUAGCUUUAGCUCUUGUAAUAUGUGCUUUUCUAGUUUGGUUUUUUGUCUACAGCUAUAUGAUUUUGCAAGGCAAGCAGUUGCUUUCUAAUCUGAAGUUUAAAUUUAGAUGGCUUUAGUUCUUAUUUCACUCUUCUACCAGUGAAAUGAAUUAGGGUCGGCUUACUUUUUUUUAUCAAAGAGUUCAAAUCUCUUUAAGCUACGAGAAAUUUGGCUGCUGGCUGGCAA